GCCUGGGUGGCUUAUUCAGUUAGGCAUCUGACUUUGACUCAGGUCAUGAUCUCCUAGUAUGUGAGUUCAAGCCCCAUGCCAGGCU
This 85-nucleotide transfer RNA is filed under the name Felis catus (domestic cat). It matches the Rfam family "tRNA". From Rfam's summary of the family: Transfer RNA (tRNA) molecules are approximately 80 nucleotides in length. Their secondary structure includes four short double-helical elements and three loops (D, anti-codon, and T loops). Lineage: Eukaryota; Metazoa; Chordata; Mammalia; Carnivora; Felidae. The record is from Rfam by way of RNAcentral.